Non-coding RNA from Phrynosoma platyrhinos (Desert horned lizard), 72 nucleotides. Lineage: Eukaryota; Metazoa; Chordata; Lepidosauria; Squamata; Phrynosomatidae. The record is from the annotation of a GenBank genome assembly.
GUCAGGGUGGUCUAGCGGCUUGCAUAUUAGACUACAACUCUGGAGAUCAGGGUUCGAUUUCCCACUCAGGCA